AUCUCUUCAUCAUCUCUCUUGAUAAUAUCCCAUGCGACAACAUAUGCAAACAUUAAUCAUCUAUAACCAAACCAAGAUCUCAAACAAACCGUACCAUAUACAACCAUCAAGUGUUCAUCAUAUCUCUUCAUGUGGGUUCCUAUGACAACGUAUUGAUAGCCUAUAUAGGCACAAAUCCGAAUUAAUAUGGCCUGAAAAUUCAACAACGCAUCAUCUAGUACCUAUCAAUCAUCUAAAAUAAUCUACCAACUACAAUGUUUUCCCUAAAAUGAAUAAACCAUCUACUCAUCUAAGAACCGCCAUAAAAAAGAAGAGGAUUCAAUCGAAAUAAAUUGGAGGGAAGGGGCAAGGGUACCUUGAGGAUGCUUAGGGGCCUCAGAUCCAUGAAUUUGAGGGGUGGAAUGAGUAUAUCUUGAGGAUUUGGUGAGGGGUGAGGGAAGGGGCGAGAGAGAACCCUCUCUGUUCGUGCGUUAGCUCGAUCGUCGCCAGAGG
Molecule: long non-coding RNA, 492 nt
Filed under: Triticum aestivum (bread wheat)
Lineage: Eukaryota; Viridiplantae; Streptophyta; Magnoliopsida; Poales; Poaceae
Description: long non-coding RNA (TAES_LNC024196)
Source: RNAcentral